RNAcentral lists this unclassified non-coding RNA (307 nucleotides) under plant metagenome. RNAcentral's name for it is "partial contains 5.8S ribosomal RNA, internal transcribed spacer 2, and large subunit ribosomal RNA". The stretch from base 1 to 105 matches the Rfam family "5.8S ribosomal RNA", at positions 50 to 154 of the family's 154-position model. The record is from RNAcentral.
GAAAUGCGAUAAGUAGGGUGAAUUGCAGAAUUUAGCGAAGCAUCGAAUCUUUGAACGCACAUUGCGCCCCUUGGUAUUCCAUGGGGCGUGCCUGUUCGAGCGUCAUUUCAACCCUCAAGCACUGCUUGGUGUUGGGCGUUUGUCCCGCCUACGCGCGUGGACUCGCCUCAAAGUCAUUGGCAGCUGUUCCCCUUCGGCUCGUAAGCGCAGCACAGUCGGCGCCCGGAGCUCUGGUGGGAUGGCGUCCAGCAAGCUAUAUUUUCAGGCUUGACCUCGGAUCAGGUAGGGAUACCCGCUGAACUUAAGC